This 548-nucleotide ribosomal RNA is filed under the name Neomuscina instabilis. RNAcentral's name for it is "partial 12S ribosomal RNA". The stretch from base 337 to 408 matches the Rfam family "tRNA". Lineage: Eukaryota; Metazoa; Arthropoda; Insecta; Diptera; Muscidae. The record is from RNAcentral.
AAUCGAUAAUCCACGAUGGACCUUACUUGAGUUUGUUAUCAGUUUAUAUACCGUUGUUAUUAGAAUAUUUUAUAAGAAGGGUAAUUUUCUAAAUUUUGUAAAAAAUAAUAUAUCAGAUCAAGGUGUAGCUUAUACUUAAGUAAUAAUGGGUUACAAUAAAUUUAUUUAAAUGAAUAUAAAUGUGAAAUGUUUAUUGAAGGUGGAUUUGAUAGUAAAAUUAUAAAGAUAAAUAAUUUGAUUUUAGCUCUAAAAUAUGCACACAUCGCCCGUCACUCUUAUUAUUAAGGUAAGAUAAGUCGUAACAUAGUAGGUGUACUGGAAGGUGUACCUAGAAUGCAAUUUAAAGCUUAUUUAGUAAAGUAUUUCAUUUACAUUGAAAUGAUUGUUGUGCAAAUCAAUAUAAAUUGAUUAGAUUUUAUUUAUUAAAUUAGUUUAUUAUUAAAUGUUUUUAUUAAAAAUAAUUAUAGGGUUUGAUGUUUUAGUAAUUUAUAGUGAAUAAAUAAUAUUUAUUAUAGUUAAAUAGUAUUGUAAAAGAAAAUUGAAAUAAU